This 253-nucleotide ribosomal RNA is filed under the name uncultured bacterium. RNAcentral's name for it is "partial 16S ribosomal RNA". It matches the Rfam family "Bacterial small subunit ribosomal RNA", at positions 524 to 776 of the family's 1533-position model. The record is from RNAcentral.
UACGGAGGGUGCAAGCGUUAUCCGGAUUCACUGGGUUUAAAGGGUGCGUAGGUGGGCAAGUAAGUCAGUGGUGAAAUCUCCGGGCUUAACCCGGAAACUGCCAUUGAUACUAUUUGUCUUGAAUACUGUGGAGGUCAGCGGAAUAUGUCAUGUAGCGGUGAAAUGCUUAGAUAUGACAUAGAACACCGAUAGCGAAGGCAGCUUGCUACACAGUUAUUGACACUGAGGCACGAAAGCGUGGGGAGCAAACAGG